Molecule: long non-coding RNA, 433 nt
Organism: Bubalus bubalis (water buffalo)
Lineage: Eukaryota; Metazoa; Chordata; Mammalia; Artiodactyla; Bovidae
Exons: 2
Source: RefSeq, a predicted model, not a curated record
GGACACGACUUAGCGACUAAACCACCGCCAGCUUUGGUUGCCAUGACCUCCUCCAGGGGAUCUUCCUAACCCAGGAAUCAAACCGAGGCCUUCUGCAUUGCAGGUGGAUUCUUUACCAUCUGAGCCACCACACUUGUAUAUGAUAAAUACUGCCUGUUGUUUCACCAGAUUACACUUCUACUAGCAAUGUAAAAAUGUACUGAUGUUUCUCCACAUCUUGACCAUCACAUUGUUUUUAGUUUUUUAUAUCUUUGCUAAUUUGAAAGGUAAAAAAUAAUAUACUGAAAUAAUUUUUACUUGCAAUUUUGUUACCAUGUGUGAGAGAAGACUAAGACAUUUUAUAUCCUUUUCUGUGGACUUCUUAUUUUAUAUAUCUUUCUAUAUCCCUUGCUUAUGGCAUUUCCAUUUAAUGUCCUGUGGUACCCUUCAAAUU